RNAcentral lists this long non-coding RNA (1274 nucleotides) under Bos grunniens (domestic yak). RNAcentral describes it as "lncRNA (ENSBGRG00000006581.1)". The record is from RNAcentral. Lineage: Eukaryota; Metazoa; Chordata; Mammalia; Artiodactyla; Bovidae.
UGCACCACCAGGCUAAGUCCCCAGACCUGAACUUUAGAACCAGGGUUAGGCGAGUGCGACGUCCCUGUGGUGGCUCUGCCCCCCGCCAGCGUACCAGGGCGCAGGUGGACUCACACCUGCGGGCAGGUACGGCCUGUUCACCGAGCAAAUGGAAUGGACGGCAGCGGGGCUAAAAACCUCGAGUUCGCAGUUGGAGAUGAAAGGCUGCAGAAAUGUUUAUUGAGUACAGUGCCGGGUUUAUAAAUAAAACUUAUUUACAAUUUCCAUAGAGUUGGUCCCCCAUCAGAGAGGUGGUUAAUCUCCAAACAGUUCAUCUCAGAAGAUUCACAGCAACGUUCGAGUGUAGAACAACUUCAAGGGAUCAAUAAGAGCUAAGAGUAACCGCCAGCUGAAGGAUAUAGUAAGACACAUUCGUGGAAAUCUAGUCACUGCCAAAAGGAUAGGUGUAUUUAGGAUAUACAGUAAUUACUUCAAAUGUUGAAAAUGGCUGAAUGAACCAGGAGCAGACUUGACCAAAUUCACACUCUUUGUUCAGGAGAUGAAGAGGGUAUAAAAGUAUGUACAGCAGCUAGUUUUCAGUGUGUUUGAAAGUUGCCCAAAGUCACCGAUCUAAAGUGUGCAAAAAACUCGUUUGUCAAAAAAUCAGGAAAAAAAAGCCUUCCUUGGCAACAGUGCAUCAGAAGCCCAUCUGAAACAUCAAGACACGUUUGCUCGACACCUACCCCAAACAGAUGGAGAACAAAACUGUGAGCGUGUGCGCCAAGGGCUCAGCAGUUUUUUAUGGCAAGUCUCAGGCUCAAGCGGAUGCCAGUUAAACUAGUCACUCUAUAUGUAUAUAUAAAUAUAUGUAUAUGUAUUUAUAGAGCAGUUAGAAGUGGGGCCAGAGUUUACAGGAAGGUUCUGGCUAAGUUUCAUGGACUAGGCUUCCCCUCGAGGCCAAACUGGAACUCAGCACUCGCUGGGGGUACAUUUCCGGCUCCCAAACAGGAUCCUGGCCACUUAUUAACCUGGUUUCAAGGGUGGUCUUUUACCAAGAGACCAUCGGCCACAGGCCUGAGAAUGGGUCACCAGUCUGGCUACUUGACCUCCUGGGAAGAAAUAUCUAGGUUAUCCACUUCCUCGAACCAGAAACCGCAUUCCUAUCUCACCAGGAGAAAACCUCUAUGGUACUGAUGUUCCUUCCAGAUUCAGGGAGUUAUGGAAGCCAAGCCUCACCCACGACGCCAGCCUGUCUUCUACCGACCACCCAGCCCAGAGAGCAGCAGCCAAGCGGA